CUAAGUAUAAAUAACUUUAUAUUGUGAAACUGCGUACAGCUCAUUAUAUCAGCAAUAAUUUAUUUGAUGGUUUCUUACUACUUGGAUAACCGUAGUAAUUCUAGAGCUAAUACAUGCGUAAGACCUGAACUCUUGCGGGGACGGGUGUAUUUAUUAGAUAAAAAACCAAUGCGCCUCUGGCGGUUGUUUGGUGAUUCAUAAUAACUUUUCGAAUCGCACGGUCUUGUACUGGCGAUAGUUCAUUCAAAUUUCUGCCCUAUCAGCUUUCGACGGUAGUGUAGUGGACUACCGUGGCGUUAACGGGUGACGGAGAAUUAGGGUUCGAUUCCGGAGAGGGAGCCUGAGAAACGGCUACCACAUCCAAGGAAGGCAGCAGGCGAGCAAAUUACCCAAUCCUGACACAGUGAGGUAGUGACUAGAAAUAACCAUACCGGGCUUUUAUGGUCUGGUAAUGGGAAUGAGUGUAAUUUAAAUCCCUAUGCGAGGAUCCACUGGAGGGCAAGUCUGGUGCCAGCAGCCGCGGUAAUUCCAGCUCCAGUAGCGUAUAUUAAAGUUGUUGCAGUUAAAAAGCUCGUAGUUGGAUUUCUGGUUGACGGCGUAUGGUCCGGCG
This 610-nucleotide ribosomal RNA is filed under the name uncultured eukaryote. RNAcentral describes it as "SSU rRNA". It matches the Rfam family "Eukaryotic small subunit ribosomal RNA", at positions 59 to 666 of the family's 1831-position model. The record is from RNAcentral.